Molecule: long non-coding RNA, 100 nt
Organism: Lagopus leucura (white-tailed ptarmigan)
Lineage: Eukaryota; Metazoa; Chordata; Aves; Galliformes; Phasianidae
Exons: 3
Source: RefSeq, a predicted model, not a curated record
AUUUGAUGACUUUUGUUUUUAAAUCCUAAUGCAGAUGUGAUUGCUUCUGGUGGUUUACUUAGACAUCAGCAACAGCUGCCAGCUGGCAGCACCUAUCUGG